RNAcentral lists this ribosomal RNA (476 nucleotides) under Phryganistria heusii yentuensis. RNAcentral describes it as "partial large subunit ribosomal RNA". The record is from RNAcentral. Lineage: Eukaryota; Metazoa; Arthropoda; Insecta; Phasmatodea; Phasmatidae.
UGGAUUCAAGUCCGCCCGGUUGUUCAGGCUGCCUGGCCUCGCCAGAUGUUGCCGGUCGCCCACGGCGAUUCAUUUCGCUUGUGGUGUCGUUCCCGGCGAUCACUCGGUGGGGUGGCAUUGCUCUGCCACCGGAGGAGUGCACUUCCUCCCUAGUAGAAACGUCGCGACCCGUUGGGUGCCGGUCAAAGGCCCGGGAUGGCAGCCCACGUGUCCUGUGGGGUUCCUCACAGGCAUGCGGACUCCUGGUGUCCCGGCCGGCUGCCCGACGGUAUGACCAGAGGAGUCGAUCCGCUGAAUGUGAAACACUGUGGUUGUGUAGCGUCCGGCCCGGCGCCGACACGUGCUGGGAUUGAGGUGCAAACCGGGGGUGUCCGUGCGAAGCACGGCCCCGGCCCCGCUGCGUUGUCGGAUUAGUCGGUGACCUCGGACAGGAUCUGUACUCCCGUCGGCGACGCCCACCUUCGGAUGGUCUCCCG